UACGUAGGGGGCGAUCGUUGUCCGGAUUUACUGGGCGUAAAGGGUGAGUAGGCGGUUAUAUAUGUCAGGUGUAAAAAGCUAUGGCUUAACCAUAGUAAGCACUUGAAACUGUAUGACUUGAGUGCAGGAGAGGUAAGUGGAAUUCCUAGUGUAGCGGUGAAAUGCGUAGAUAUUAGGAAGAAUACCAGUAGCGAAGGCGACUUACUGGCCUUUAACUGACGCUGAGGAACGAAAGCGUGGGUAGCAAACAGGAUUAGAUACCCGGGUAGUCCCUGA
This 276-nucleotide ribosomal RNA is filed under the name uncultured prokaryote. RNAcentral's name for it is "partial 16S ribosomal RNA". It matches the Rfam family "Bacterial small subunit ribosomal RNA", at positions 524 to 800 of the family's 1533-position model. The record is from RNAcentral.